This 324-nucleotide ribosomal RNA is filed under the name uncultured eukaryote. RNAcentral describes it as "partial 18S ribosomal RNA". It matches the Rfam family "Eukaryotic small subunit ribosomal RNA", at positions 1470 to 1796 of the family's 1831-position model. The record is from RNAcentral.
CCCUUAGAUGUUCUGGGCUGCACGCGCGCUACACUGAUGCGCUCAACGAGUUUUAACCUUGCCUGGAAAGGUUGGGUAAUCUUUUUAAAACGCAUCGUGAUGGGGAUAGAUUAUUGCAAUUAUUAAUCUUCAACGAGGAAUUCCUAGUAGACGUAGUUCAUCAGACUGCAUCGAUUACGUCCCUGCCCUUUGUACACACCGCCCGUCGCUCCUACCGAUUGAAUGCUCAGGUGAGCCAUUCGGACUUUCAUCAUGCUGGUUUCCAGUUUUGAUGAAGGAAAGUCUUGCGAACCUUAUCAUUUAGAGGAAGGAGAAGUCGUAACA